RNAcentral lists this ribosomal RNA (253 nucleotides) under uncultured prokaryote. RNAcentral's name for it is "partial 16S ribosomal RNA". It matches the Rfam family "Bacterial small subunit ribosomal RNA", at positions 525 to 777 of the family's 1533-position model. The record is from RNAcentral.
ACAGAGGUUGCAAACGUUGUUCGGAAUCACUGGGCAUAAAGCGCACGUAGGCGGUCUGUUAAGUCAGGUGUGAAAGCCCCCGGCUCAACCGGGGAACAGCAUUUGAUACUGGCAGACUCGAGGAUGGUAGGGGUGAGUGGAACUCCAGGUGGAGCGGUGAAAUGCGUAGAUAUCUGGAGGAACACCGGUGGCGAAAGCGGCUCACUGGACCAUAACUGACGCUGAGGUGCGAAAGCUAGGGUAGCAAACGGGA